This 420-nucleotide ribosomal RNA is filed under the name uncultured bacterium. Its description in RNAcentral is "partial 16S ribosomal RNA". It matches the Rfam family "Bacterial small subunit ribosomal RNA", at positions 360 to 772 of the family's 1533-position model. The record is from RNAcentral.
AAUAUUGGAAAAUGGGGACAACCCUGAUCCAGCCAUGCCGCGAGUGUGAAGUUUGAAAUAGAUAUGUAAAGCACUUUAAGUUGAGAGAAAGGGCUUUAGAUUAAUACUCUGAAAUUUUGACGAUACCAACAGAAUAAGCACCUGCUAACUCUGUGCCAACAGCCGCGGUAAUACAGAGGGUGCAAGCGUUAAUCGGAAUUACUGGGCGUAAAGCGCGCGUAGGUGGUUCAGUAAGAUGGGUGUGAAAUCCCCGGGCUUAACCUGGGAACUGCUUUCAUAACUGCUGAGCUAGAGUACGGUAGAGGGUAGUGGAAUUUCCUGUGUAGCGGUGAAAUGCGUAGAUAUAGGAAGGAACACCAGUGGCGAAGGCGACUACCUGGACUGAUACUGACACUGAGGUGCGAAAGCGUGGGGAGCAAA